Molecule: ribosomal RNA, 754 nt
Filed under: uncultured Diversispora
Lineage: Eukaryota; Fungi; Glomeromycota; Glomeromycetes; Diversisporales; Diversisporaceae
Description: SSU rRNA
Rfam family: Eukaryotic small subunit ribosomal RNA
Source: RNAcentral
GCCUACCAUGGUUUUAACGGGUAACGGGGAAUUAGGGUUCGAUUCCGGAGAGGGAGCCUGAGAAACGGCUACCACAUCCAAGGAAGGCAGCAGGCGCGCAAAUUACCCAAUCCCGACACGGGGAGGUAGUGACAAUAAAUAACAAUACGGGGCUCAUUUGGGUCUCGUAAUUGGAAUGAGUACAAUUUAAAUCCCUUAACGAGGAACAAUUGGAGGGCAAGUCUGGUGCCAGCAGCCGCGGUAAUUCCAGCUCCAAUAGCGUAUAUUAAAGUUGUUGCAGUUAAAAAGCUCGUAGUUGAACUUCGGGGUCUACCCAUUGGUCAGGCUUAAUUGUCUGCACUGGUGAGAUGGAUCUCUACCUUCUGAGGAACUUUCAUGCCAUUUAUUUGGUGUGAUGGGAAAUCAGGACUGUUACUUUGAAAAAAUUAGAGUGUUUAAAGCAGACUAUCGUCUGAAUACAUUAGCAUGGAAUAAUGAAAUAGGACGGACUGAUUCUAUUUCGUUGGUUUCUAGGAUCACCGUAAUGAUUAAUAGGGAUAGUUGGGGGCAUUAGUAUUCAAUUGUCAGAGGUGAAAUUCUUGGAUUUAUUGAAGACUAACUACUGCGAAAGCAUUUGCCAAGGAUGUUUUCAUUAAUCAAGAACGAAAGUUAGGGGAUCGAAGACGAUCAGAUACCGUCGUAGUCUUAACCAUAAACUAUGCCGACUAGAGAUCGGACGAAGUUAAUUUUAUAAUGACGCGUUCGGCACCUUACG